GUUCAUCAGUGAUCAUGUUACUAUAUUAAUCUGAGAAAUCGUUUCUAUACAUUGAUCUAACUUAUAGCAACGUUACAAUUCUGCAAGUAUAACGGAAUGCUGUAGAUGUCAUAGACCAAACCCUGCUGUGUCUAAGACUUGUCUAAAAUGAGUCUUAUCUGACUCUUAAAUGCUUCAAUCAACAAUUACUGAUGUGUACAUUGUGGGAGAAAGCUUCCUGAGCCUCAGCUGUCUUAUGAGGCCUCUGCCUACAAGCACUAAGAGGAAGCUUGAAAUAAUAUGAAGAUCAUGGUGAGAAAAUAAGCACAAGGAAUUCUUUGCAAUGUUCC
RNAcentral lists this long non-coding RNA (329 nucleotides) under Mus spicilegus (steppe mouse). RNAcentral's name for it is "lncRNA (ENSMSIG00000011112.1)". The record is from RNAcentral. Lineage: Eukaryota; Metazoa; Chordata; Mammalia; Rodentia; Muridae.